UACACCGCUGACCUUUGAAACAAGGUUUACUCACCAUUACUGGGAAGAUGAGUGGAAAUGAGUCCGACCCAGUACGCACGGUAAAGCGGUCGCACCUGCCGUGCGUAGGAGAUAGAA
Molecule: non-coding RNA, 117 nt
Submitted as: unclassified sequences
Source: Rfam